This 1320-nucleotide long non-coding RNA is filed under the name Ursus maritimus (polar bear). RNAcentral's name for it is "lncRNA (ENSUMAG00000017876.1)". The record is from RNAcentral. Lineage: Eukaryota; Metazoa; Chordata; Mammalia; Carnivora; Ursidae.
CUAAAGAUUUGGGUUCUAAUUCUGGAUUCAACUUUCCCUCAGGCCACAACUUGUCCCUCUAGGCUUUAGGCUCCUCGUGUCUCAGAUGUGGGUUCAUUAGGAUCCUCCAUGUGAGGAUCCUCCACUUUGUAAAUUCUAAAGCACUAGAGAAAUGCCAUUUGUUGCUACCAUUUCUUAUGUGAUUCUCAAAUUAAAAAGUUGAUGCUGAAGGAUCCACCGAAUAAAAAAUACUGCUUGAAUCUAUUGACAGGAUCAGCAGAAUGCUUGAAGGGAAUCAACCCAGAGCAGACCCCGAGGAAGUUGUGCAUACCAGAGGCGCAGGCCUCUGCAUCACUGGGAAUGGACCCGGAUUUGAGAGGGUGGCUCUCUAGACCCUGUCCUCCUCUGGAGCACCACUUUCUAAGAUGGCGCCGGACUCCUAGUAGAUACUCAGUGAAUAUUUGUGGAAUGGACACACAAAUUAACACAUAGCCCUGCCAAUAUAUCCUCCCCCGAAACCAUUAUUUUCUGUUGCCUGUGCUGCUUUGCCGCAUCUCAGGGGUCUCCACACUGCACACCCCAACGCAUCAUCAAAGCGUACAAGCCGGGAAUCGAAGGAGCCUGCUAGUAAGACAGAAGUCACAGUCUUUUGUAACCUAAUCAUGGAAGUGACGUCCCUUUGCAUGUGCCAUAUUCGAUUGGUUAGAAGCAAGUCACGAAGUCAGGGCCACCAUCAAAAGAAGGAACUUGCACAAGGGUGUGCCUCCCAUUUCUCUUCUUUCUCACAGGAAACUCAUUCAGAGCAUGUCCCCAUAGAGCAAGGUGCAUGGACGUUUCUCCAAGAAGGAGACCGUCUGUAAUCUCUGCCCAGGCCGGGAAGGCCACUCGGCUCUGAUCGCACCGUCUGCCAUCUCAAGGGUGUUUACCUAACUAGCCUUGCUGAACCCUUUUUCAUAACGUGGGGUGGUAACUAAAGUAUGCCCGGCUCCAGAAUCUAGAAAACAUCUUCUUCUUUGUCUGGCCCUGAAAACCAUGGAAGAUGUGACCCCAAAAGUCCUGGGGAAAAAUCUAGCGUUAGGGAACCAAAAGAGGUCUGUUUUUCCGGGUGUAUGGUGUUUGGUUCUGGUUUACAGAACGCAAAUUGAAAACAUAAUGUGUGACGACAAAAGGAAAGGGGUUUGAAGGCGAUCUUUGUGGGGAAAACAACUUCUGUUCCCACACGAUAUAUAAGUAGGUGGAUGUGGGUGCAGAGAGGGGAAGCAGAGAUGCCCAAGGGGCCCCACCUUCCAUGCAUCCACCUUAAAAUGUCCAUCUUCCAAUAAAACUCAGCCCAGAAAUCCA